Molecule: long non-coding RNA, 567 nt
Organism: Leptinotarsa decemlineata (Colorado potato beetle)
Lineage: Eukaryota; Metazoa; Arthropoda; Insecta; Coleoptera; Chrysomelidae
Source: RefSeq, a predicted model, not a curated record
UUGACGGCCAACCCCAAUAUCAGUAAGUUUUGUCCUUGUUUUAAAUUUUUGACAUAUUUUGCAUAAAAAUUAUUGCAGCUUCCCUGAAAUAUUAUUGAAAUAUUGAAAUAACAUGACCAGUCGAAUGAGAAUUUGAUAGGAAAUAAUCGAAAAGAAAAAAAAAUUAUAUACAAUAUCAUCUAAAUGAACCUGAUAGUGACUUGAACAAUACACCUUUGAAAGACUUCAUGUGUGAAGAUAAGGUUAGAAUAACAAGUGUAAAUGUUGAGAUAAGCUACAGAAUUGUAGAAUGGAAGAGUAAACAAUAGAAGAAACCAAAUCUCAUAGAGUUGAUAACUAUUCCAGUGUGUAUUUCCGAAAGGCUUAUGAAGAGAUAACUGAUGUCACAGAUGCAAAUAAUUUGAACUGAGGGGAGAUGUGAUGUCUGAACUUCAAUAUUUUCUUCUGCUUUGUUGCAUACUGGUCAUCUACAAAAAAUGGUAUUUUCUGUUGACAGCUACACAAGUUAAAUUCUCUUCCAUGCUUGAUGUAAUAUGAUCACGAUAGUAUUACACGAUAGUAUUAUUG